Molecule: long non-coding RNA, 671 nt
Filed under: Rattus norvegicus (Norway rat)
Lineage: Eukaryota; Metazoa; Chordata; Mammalia; Rodentia; Muridae
Description: long non-coding RNA NONRATT018614
Source: RNAcentral
GCCACCUCUCAGGCUUUGGGUUUGGGUCUGAUGGCUUGCUGGGGUCUCCAGAGCGUGCGGCUUCCUCCUCUCCGGUUACCACUCUUACCCAGACCAUGUACAACCUCGCAGGGCUCGGCAGCGAGACCCCAAAAACUCAAGUAGGAAGCCUGUCGUUCCAGAACAGGCUGACAGACCUGUCCCUGUCCAGACGUACCUCUGAGUGCUCCCUGUCAUCUGAGUCCUCAGAAUCUUCUGAUGCAGGUAAGGCCCAGGGCCCGUAGUGGGGGUACACACACCACCACCACCACCACCACCACCACCAAAAGAGAUCAGGGAACUUUCUGGACCUUCUAAAUUCUCUGCCCAUGAGAUAGAUCCCGGUCCUUUCCACAGAAUCAUCCCCCAGCUUGCCUUCAAAACUAUGAAGCAAACAAACCUCUGGUGGGUCUUACCACACCCAGCCUAAACUGGGAGUCUGGGGAAGGACGACUCUUGGUAGGAGAUGGUAUCUUACUUAUUUGAAACCUAGCGGUAAAGCCACUGAACUACAGCUCCACCCAGACAGCACUUGGUACCAAAAGCCUGUCCUUGUGAAGCAUUCUCUUAAGCUGUAGCCUUUUCUCCUUAGAAAACCAUUAUCUUUUCCAAGUUGUUUUAAACCAGCUUAAGAAAAAUGCUUAGAAAGCACU